RNAcentral lists this long non-coding RNA (1247 nucleotides) under Olea europaea (common olive). RNAcentral's name for it is "long non-coding RNA (OEUR_LNC012854)". The record is from RNAcentral. Lineage: Eukaryota; Viridiplantae; Streptophyta; Magnoliopsida; Lamiales; Oleaceae.
UUUUAGUUUUACUUAUUAUGCUCCUGAUAAGAAGAAUUUAUGUCUUCAAACGUAAGACUAAAACAAGUUUGAUUGAUGCGAAUCUCGUAGCAACGUUGAUUACGAAAUCCACAACGAGAUUGACGAACUCAAGAAAGCCAAAUUAAUCCAAGAGUUUAGGAUUAAUCCAAAAGAAAGUCGAACCAAAAAAUCCAACAAGAACGACGCUUGAAAGACCCCUUGAUCACGCAAUCCAAGAAUUAAAUCCAGUUGUUUAACGCAACAAGUUAACACUUGAUAAGUUCGAAGUUGUUCAAUAAAGAAUAAUGAAGAGAAGACAAUACGCCUCACUUUAAUUUGAUAUCAAUAAUGUUAAAAGGUUUUUAACAAUUGAAUGGAAACUUCUAUUUAUACUAAACCUAAAAACUAGGUAAAAAUCGUGCAAAAGUCGAUCAUAAUCCCCGAAGUAUGGAAAAGAAUAAAAAAUCUAACAAAAUAUGGAAAAAUACCAAAAAUAGAAAAUUCGCCAAAAUUUUGGCUUGUGCGACCGCAUGGUGUAUUUCCAUGCGGUCGCAUAGUUCAACAAAAAAUCCCAAUUUAAGUUUCGGUAUGCCACUCAACAAAAAUCCCAAUUUAAGUUUCAGUAUGCCACCAUGUGGCCGCAUGGUGUUUUUGCUGUGCGGUCGCACAGGCUUAUUUUCAGCCUCCGAUUUCGUCGCUUGAUAACAAAUUGAUCCAAGUUGAUUCGACUUUCAACCCGAACAUGAAAGUUGCUCCAUUUUGAGUCCCGAACAUGGUUCCAUCAAUGGUUUCUUGAACGAGCAAUCCCAUCGCUUGUUUCACUUGCUUUGCCCUUGAUCGCGUUAUUGGUCCGCCAUCGACUAUCAACGGGUCUCGUCUCACACUUGCCUUCGUCGGGCUUGACUCCUGGAUCAUAUCAUUGAUUCUAUUUAUUUAUUUCCUUUUUAUGUUUUCUUUGGUAACUUGGGAAGACGUGCUUUUGAUUUUGGACAGUUGGAGAAGACUGUUGUGCCGCAAACAGUUACAAAACAAUAUGUUGCGUAUUCUCAACUUUUUUUAUUAUUUAUUUUUCUUGACGUUUGGGGGUGAGGUGCUUUACUAUAUGUGAUACAGAAAUCAUAUACACGCAAAAUAUUAGAAUGGCAUGGGGGCAAAAAUAAGGAAAACUUACAUGCUUUGCAUAUUUUUACUUACUCCAUAAUUGCUGUGAAAAUAAGAAGUGAAAAGGUGAUUUGGGUUCCCUUUUU